UCAAUAAGCGGAGGAAAAGAAACCAACAGGGAUUGCCUCAGUAACGGCGAGUGAAGCGGCAAAAGCUCAAAUUUGAAAUCCUUCGGGAGUUGUAAUUUGUAGGUUGGGGGCUACAGCGCCAAAAAAGUUCAAGUCCCUUGGAACAGGGCGCCUUAGAGGGUGAGAGCCCCGUAGAACUUUGUCGGUGCUUCGCGCCUCCCUCCAAAGAGUCGAGUUGUUUGGGAAUGCAGCUCAAAGUGGGUGGUAAAUUCCAUCUAAAGCUAAAUACCGGCGAGAGACCGAUAGCGAACAAGUACAGUGAUGGAAAGAUGAAAAGCACUUUGAAAAGAGAGUGAAACAGUACGUGAAAUUGUUGAAAGGGAAGGGCUUGCAAGCAGACACGGCCUCGGCCGGGCCAGCAUCGGUUGCCAGGGGUGGACAAACCAAAAGAGAAUGUAGCUCUCGCGAGUGUUAUAGCUCUUUGUAAUACACCCACCGGCGACCGAGGCCUGCGUCUCACGGA
RNAcentral lists this ribosomal RNA (502 nucleotides) under Sungouiella inulinophila. RNAcentral describes it as "LSU rRNA". It matches the Rfam family "Eukaryotic large subunit ribosomal RNA", at positions 43 to 506 of the family's 3401-position model. The record is from RNAcentral. Lineage: Eukaryota; Fungi; Ascomycota; Pichiomycetes; Serinales; Metschnikowiaceae.